RNAcentral lists this transfer RNA (90 nucleotides) under Symmachiella macrocystis. RNAcentral describes it as "Planctomycetes bacterium CA54 tRNA-Ser". It matches the Rfam family "tRNA". Rfam says of the family: Transfer RNA (tRNA) molecules are approximately 80 nucleotides in length. Their secondary structure includes four short double-helical elements and three loops (D, anti-codon, and T loops). Lineage: Bacteria; Pseudomonadati; Planctomycetota; Planctomycetia; Planctomycetales; Planctomycetaceae. RNAcentral also lists the same sequence under 1 other name. The record is from RNAcentral.
GGAGAGAUGACAGAGUGGCCGAUUGUGCAGCACUGGAAAUGCUGUGUCUCGGGUAACCGGGACCGGGGGUUCGAAUCCCCCUCUCUCCGC